AUUUUGGCUUUUGAGUCAUUCAGAUCUGGGUCCAGAUAUUAGCUCUUAUAUUUUCACUGUGUGCCCUUGGACACUUUGUCUAACCUCUCUGAUGGUUUUCUCAUCUAUAAAAUGGAACUAAGAAAAUCCUUAUUUAGGACUGGAGAAAAUACAUAUGUAAAGCAUCUAAUGUCUGUUACAGUGGUAACAUGCAAGUUUUUAUGUCUAGGCUAAAUUGAGUUUGUUAUAAACUGAGGACUAUACGUGUAUCUCCCAUUUACCUCUGUUGUCAGUUUACAUUAUUUCUUUUCUAGCCUAAGGCUGUAAAUAUUUUCCCUAGGCCAAAAUCUGACCUGCUGGUUUUAACCAUUAAGCUGAAACCAAGAUACUCAUUGUCACAUGAACCAUUUUGAUUAAUAACAUUCCUUUGUCCUUUCUUUUGACCCUAGACAUCUUCCUGCUUUGUAUGAAAAUAAUUGCAUAAUUUGUUAUGUUAAAGCAAUAUAGGAAGCAGUCGCCCCAGACUUUAAUUUUAGCCUCACUAGUAAGGAAAGGCUCAAAAUCAUUUCCCUGACUGCUUUAUAACCAAGGAAAAUUAUAAUGCCAAACAAAUAGAGUUGGAGAAUAUGU
RNAcentral lists this long non-coding RNA (609 nucleotides) under Homo sapiens (human). RNAcentral describes it as "non-protein coding lnc-RAB33B-5:1". The record is from RNAcentral. Lineage: Eukaryota; Metazoa; Chordata; Mammalia; Primates; Hominidae.